AUGAUGAACGCUAGCUACAGGCUUAACACAUGCAAGUCGAGGGGCAGCAUUUUAGUUUGCUUGCAAACUGAAGAUGGCGACCGGCGCACGGGUGAGUAACACGUAUCCAACCUACCGAUAACUCCGGAAUAGCCUUUCGAAAGAAAGAUUAAUACCGGAUAGCAUACGAAUAUCGCAUGAUAUUUUUAUUAAAGAAUUUCGGUUAUCGAUGGGGAUGCGUUCCAUUAGUUUGUUGGCGGGGUAACGGCCCACCAAGACUACGAUGGAUAGGGGUUCUGAGAGGAAGGUCCCCCACAUUGGAACUGAGACACGGUCCAAACUCCUACGGGAGGCAGCAGUGAGGAAUAUUGGUCAAUGGGCGAGAGCCUGAACCAGCCAAGUAGCGUGAAGGAUGAAGGCUCUAUGGGUCGUAAACUUCUUUUAUAUGGGAAUAAAGUUUUCCACGUGUGGAAUUUUGUAUGUACCAUAUGAAUAAGGAUCGGCUAACUCCGUGCCAGCAGCCGCGGUAAUACGGAGGAUCCGAGCGUUAUCCGGAUUUAUUGGGUUUAAAGGGAGCGUAGGUGGAUUGUUAAGUCAGUUGUGAAAGUUUGCGGCUCAACCGUAAAAUUGCAGUUGAAACUGGCAGUCUUGAGUACAGUAGAGGUGGGCGGAAUUCGUGGUGUAGCGGUGAAAUGCUUAGAUAUCACGAAGAACUCCGAUUGCGAAGGCAGCUCACUAGACUGUCACUGACACUGAUGCUCGAAAGUGUGGGUAUCAAACAGGAUUAGAUACCCUGGUAGUCCACACAGUAAACGAUGAAUACUCGCUGUUUGCGAUAUACAGUAAGCGGCCAAGCGAAAGCAUUAAGUAUUCCACCUGGGGAGUACGCCGGCAACGGUGAAACUCAAAGGAAUUGACGGGGGCCCGCACAAGCGGAGGAACAUGUGGUUUAAUUCGAUGAUACGCGAGGAACCUUACCCGGGCUUAAAUUGCAACAGAAUAUAUUGGAAACAGUAUAGCCGUAAGGCUGUUGUGAAGGUGCUGCAUGGUUGUCGUCAGCUCGUGCCGUGAGGUGUCGGCUUAAGUGCCAUAACGAGCGCAACCCUUAUCUUUAGUUACUAACAGGUUAUGCUGAGGACUCUAGAGAGACUGCCGUCGUAAGAUGUGAGGAAGGUGGGGAUGACGUCAAAUCAGCACGGCCCUUACGUCCGGGGCUACACACGUGUUACAAUGGGGGGUACAGAAGGCGGCUACCUGGUGACAGGAUGCUAAUCCCAAAAACCUCUCUCAGUUCGGAUCGAAGUCUGCAACCCGACUUCGUGAAGCUGGAUUCGCUAGUAAUCGCGCAUCAGCCAUGGCGCGGUGAAUACGUUCCCGGGCCUUGUACACACCGCCCGUCAAGCCAUGAAAGCCGGGGGUACAUGAAGUACGUAACCGCAAGGAGCGUCCUAGGGU
This 1434-nucleotide ribosomal RNA is filed under the name uncultured organism. RNAcentral describes it as "SSU rRNA". It matches the Rfam family "Bacterial small subunit ribosomal RNA". The record is from RNAcentral.